UACGGAGGGUGCGAGCGUUGUCCGGAAUCAUUGGGCGUAAAGGGCGCGUAGGUGGCCCGGUCAGUUCGUGGUGAAAGCCCGGGGCUCAACUCCGGAAUUGCCUUUAAAACUGCAUCGCUAGAAUUGUGGAGAGGUAAGUGGAAUUCCGAGUGUAGAGGUGAAAUUCGUAGAUAUUCGGAAGAACACCAGUGGCGAAGGCGACUUACUGGACACAUAUUGACGCUGAGGUGCGAAAGCGUGGGGAGCAAACAGG
Molecule: ribosomal RNA, 253 nt
Filed under: uncultured bacterium
Lineage: Bacteria
Description: partial 16S ribosomal RNA
Rfam family: Bacterial small subunit ribosomal RNA
Source: RNAcentral